RNAcentral lists this ribosomal RNA (254 nucleotides) under uncultured bacterium. Its description in RNAcentral is "partial 16S ribosomal RNA". It matches the Rfam family "Bacterial small subunit ribosomal RNA", at positions 524 to 776 of the family's 1533-position model. The record is from RNAcentral.
CACGUAGGGGGCAAGCGUUUGUCCGGAUUUAUUGGGCGUAAAGAGCUCGUAGGUGGCUGAGUAAGUCGGAUGUUAAAUCCCCAGGCUCAACCUGGGACACCACCCGAUACUGCUCUGGCUAGAGUCCGGUAGGGGAGCGUGGAAUUCCUGGUGUAGCGGUGAAAUGCGCAGAUAUCAGGAGGAACACCGGUGGCGAAGGCGGUUCUCUGGGCAGUAACUGACGCUGAGGAGCGAAAGCGUGGGGAGCGAACAGG